UGGGGAAUCUUGCGCAAUGGGCGAAAGCCUGACGCAGCGACGCCGCGUGCGGGAAGAAGCUCUUCGGGGUGUAAACCGCUGUCAGAGGGGAAGAAGUCCGGGGGGAGGAAAUGCCUUCCGGUUGACGGUACCCUCAGAGGAAGCACCGGCUAACUCUGUG
This 160-nucleotide ribosomal RNA is filed under the name uncultured bacterium. RNAcentral's name for it is "partial 16S ribosomal RNA". It matches the Rfam family "Bacterial small subunit ribosomal RNA", at positions 355 to 507 of the family's 1533-position model. The record is from RNAcentral.